Non-coding RNA from Podarcis lilfordi (Lilford's wall lizard), 1129 nucleotides. The record is from the annotation of a GenBank genome assembly. NCBI's taxonomy places the organism in Eukaryota, Metazoa, Chordata, Lepidosauria, Squamata, Lacertidae.
UCCUCUGUUCGAAGGAGCGCUCUGCUUGAAGAGCUGUCUGGUCACAAGAAAUGUGAGCAGAAUCCUUGAAGUUGCCCAUCAAUAGCUAACACCUGGACAACAGACUGAUCUGCCACACUGUACAUCUGGUUACCCUCUUCCUCAUCAUGGUGAGAUAUAUUGUAUUUCAGUUUAAAUCAUAGUGAUAAUUUUUCAGUUGGAACCUUUUAUAUAAAUUGUUGUUGUUGUUGUUGUUUAGUCGCUUAGUCAUGUCCGACUCUUCAUGACCCCAUGGACCAGAGCACGCCAGGCACAUAAAUUAUAAUAUAAAUAUAAUAAUAUAAAUCAGCACAUGCCAAUUUUAUUGAAAUCUGUGUUACCCUGUGGUCCUCUGCUUUGGUGAUCCGUAAGUGUUCGCACUGUAUUGAAUUCAUUUGUGUCUUUUCACACCAGCCAGCGGUAUUUAAGGGCUGCACCGAAUGCAAUUUGCACAUUGGGGUUCAUUCACACAUGCAUGGACCUUAUCUUUUUGACUUUCAGCUGAACUGUCUUUAUUGAACAUUUUUGCAUGUGAGGUUAUAAGAAAGUUCUCAUGGCAGUCUUUGAUGUGGGAUGGUUGUUUCACACAUGGAAAUAAACCUUGAUCUUUUAGUCAGUGAAAAAGAUGGAUAUGGUUGCAGAAGAACAUCAGUAGUUCAUUGUAAAUCAGAAAAAGAAACCGCUAGUCCACAGGUUUGACAUAUAGGAGGGAAGAAGAGGGGUGGUUGGGCUGUGAAUAAUUUUCUCCUGCUACAGCAACUACUGGGUAGGCCAGCGGAGGUCAUCUUAUUAUGGACACAACUUUUAGAUGCCACUGCAUUCACCUCUAUUGUCACAGAGGCUAGAGAUAUGAUCCUUAUAGAAAUGAAAGCGGAUUGUUAGCGAUCAGAAGCCUGUAUUGCAUUUUGGGGCUGGAAAUCAAAUUCUGCACUUCACAGUUCAUUAUUGUCCCCUGUAGAUCUUUGGCUGAAGUUUUCCAUUCUACCUCCUGAAGCAUUUUCUACCAUACAUGUUCUUUUUUUUACAGCAGGGGAUAUAGAAUGUUGUUACAGAACUUCUUAUGUUCCUAAGACCUUGGAAGCAGCCAAUAAAUCUUUCCUGCCAUUAGAAA